GACGAACGCUGGCGGCGUGCCUAAUACAUGCAAGUAGAACGCUGAAGGAAGGAGCUUGCUCUUUCCGGAUGAGUUGCGAACGGGUGAGUAACGCGUAGGUAACCUGCCUGGUAGCGGGGGAUAACUAUUGGAAACGAUAGCUAAUACCGCAUAACAGUAGAUAUCGCAUGAUAGCUGCUUGAAAGGUGCAAAUGCACCACUACCAGAUGGACCUGCGUUGUAUUAGCUAGUUGGUGAGGUAACGGCUCACCAAGGCAACGAUACAUAGCCGACCUGAGAGGGUGAUCGGCCACACUGGGACUGAGACACGGCCCAGACUCCUACGGGAGGCAGCAGUAGGGAAUCUUCGGCAAUGGACGGAAGUCUGACCGAGCAACGCCGCGUGAGUGAAGAAGGUUUUCGGAUCGUAAAGCUCUGUUGUAAGAGAAGAACGAGUGUGAGAGUGGAAAGUUCACACUGUGACGUAUCUACCAGAAAGGACGCA
RNAcentral lists this ribosomal RNA (484 nucleotides) under Streptococcus infantis. RNAcentral describes it as "bacterial SSU rRNA". It matches the Rfam family "Bacterial small subunit ribosomal RNA", at positions 28 to 496 of the family's 1533-position model. The record is from RNAcentral. Lineage: Bacteria; Bacillati; Bacillota; Bacilli; Lactobacillales; Streptococcaceae.